Molecule: ribosomal RNA, 1074 nt
Filed under: Triticum aestivum (bread wheat)
Lineage: Eukaryota; Viridiplantae; Streptophyta; Magnoliopsida; Poales; Poaceae
Description: partial small subunit ribosomal RNA
Source: RNAcentral
AUGAUAGGAAAAAUCGCAGGCGCUGAAAAAAAUACUUCACGGGCCGAAUCUGAGGAAGCCCAACAACGAGGAAGAGAAAAGAGGAGGGGCGCUGGGGUCGGCUCACCCUUGGGCCUUGGAGGCGCGGCCCAAAAUGAAGAGGACGGAGGCCGAGGCGAGGCCGGUUGGGGAGGUCGGACGCGGGCCAGCUGGAGCCUGGCGCGGCUGGGCUUGGGUCUUGACUCGAUCGAACGAGGAGGAGAAGGGGGCACGGUCAACGCUCGAGGACGAGCGGGCGAGCGGGCGCCUCAUCCUAGAAGAAGCAGAGGACACAGGCAGAGGCAGGUGUUCGGCGGCGCUCCUCCGCGCGGAUCGGGACGACGGCGAUGGCUUGGCGUGUCUCCGGCGAAGGAGGGAGGCGGAUCCCAUCGGAGAUGGAAGGAUCCGGGCGGUGGGGGCCGGAUCCCGCCGGAUCCGUCGUCGGAGCAGGGCGGCAGCAGGGAGCCAACGACGAACUCCAUGGCGGUGGCGGCGAGGAGCACUGCAGGGGAGAGGAGAGAGGUAAGGGAGAGGCAGGGAUAUGAAGAGGAGGGCGGCGGAGCUGUCCUGAGGCUCGGCAGCGGCGGAGAUGACCGACUGGGCUGCCACUCGGGUUGGCGUGGCAGCGAGGCAAAGGAGCUCGUGCCCCUUGGCGACGGGAGGCUCGGGCACGGCGUCGCUGCACCGACGGGAGCAGGCGUGGCUCGCAGAUCGAGGAGGGCCAAGGGGAGCUCCUCGCUCGGGCGUCGGGUGAGCACGGGGAUGGAGGUGAGGGGGCCGGCCUGGAGCUUUGCCAAAGACGUCCGGGCACAGCUGCGCUGGAUCUGCUGCUGCUUGCGGCACGGGGACGAGGACGAGGGAGCUCGUGCUCCUGCCGGGCUCCGGCGAGGCUGGCUCGUGGUCGCUGCGGGACAGCUGGAUCCAGGGCCUCGGUGGGAUUGGUUGGCUGGAAAUGACUGCGCGAGAGGAUUGGGCAGAUGGAUCGGGAUGGAUCCCGAGGUGAAAGAGGACUGGCGGCGGCGGCUGGGAGGAUGGGACAAGAGCCCUCGGUUUUAG